UUACAUUAAUUCGGCUCCAAUCUUCUUCCUUCCUUACUUUCAUGGUGUGCUUUCAUUCGACUCCCUCCUUUCCCAUUCAUCUUCGUCUUAUCUAGCCAUCAAAACCUUUCUGCUUUGUUCAAAAUCAGAAUGGUCAAAGCCACCACCGGCUUUCACAUUCGUGGUUACUUUAUCUGUGAAAGCCAUCACUGGCUUCUCUACCUAAAUCUUUCCAUCGUUCUUCCGCCUCAAAGCUUCGUAGAUCUCUUCUCUUUGAAGCUUCGUCCUUCAAUUUGUGUCCAGCGUUUGUAGAUCUAUGCAUAAAGGAUAAUCCAAGAAGUUGAAUGCCUCCUCAAGUCCAACCCUGUCAAGGAUCUCACUUCCCUUACCUCCAUGCUUGCUGACGUCAUCUUAGCUGAUGGUAGACCCAACGGUUACCCUCUCUUGAAUAUUGCCAACGGUCUCUGGAAAUGUUGUUGACUUGAUUGUCAUAUAGAAACUUCUGAGGUGCAAUGACAAUUAAAGGAAUGCUCUAUAAUGAACUCCUACUUUUCUUACAAUUGCAUUAAAAAGAUGUCGGGUAUGAGAAAGUUUGCAAAAACUUUAUUCCUAAUAGUUGCUUAAUUGUUGAUAAAUUAGUAGCAUUUGCUUACAGGGAGAAACUACUCCUACCUAAUCCUUCUUAACUCAUGUGACUUUAGCUGUAUAAAUUUAAAUUAUUAGCAUUCCCAUGGUUUGUUUUGAUUGGUAACCUAACUAGGCAAAUUGUUGGAAUGCAAAUCAACUUUUCUUUAAUGAAAAGCUAUAUAUAUGAGGUUGGAUUUGUUAAGAAUGAAUGAUACUAUGAGCGCUCUUUUAACUGAACACAUACUUAUGGUCUAUUGCCAUCUAAUAGUCCAAGUUUUAUUUAGUGUGAUUAUAUACUUUCUACUGUCAAUUAAACUGCUUCUCAAUUAUGUUAAUAUAGAAUUAGACAUAUUGUGUAGGUAAAUUUGAAAUUGAUAGAGUAAUGAUGAUACAAUUAGGUAACUCUUUUUCCACUGUUAUUAGUGAUAAAUUAAUAAUGGACAGUGCAUGUUUUUGAAAUUGUUCAGGAGAGAUAGGGAAAAUAUAGAGAAUCAGGUUUGGAUUAGUCUAAUAAAAUGAUUUAUUUCUGUAUCUGAUUUUCAUAUUUUCUUGUAAAUCAUAAUUUAGGCUGAAAAUAAAUCUUUUCUAAACAUUUUACCUUUAGGUUGAGUAUUCUAUUUUUUUUUGGUGUGAUUAUUAGUCCAUUAAAUUAAAUAACAUGAUCUCAUAAUUUUGUUACUUAAAGUUAUAAGAAAAGAUUUAGUCUUUAUUAAAGAACAUGAUCUCAAAAUCGAAGGCUUUCAUUCUUUUUUAAAUACAGUGUAGUCUUUGUUCGAACUUAUCUCUCCAGUUGGUACGAACAUGACAUGUUAAGAUUUGAAUCUAAAAGUAAAAAAAAAUUACUGGAAUUAAAUAAAUCUUAGCAUUCGACACCGUCUUACCUAUUAAAAAGAAAUGGCUGGCAAAUGUAAAGGGCCCCACCCUAUGCUUACUUUUAACUAUAUUGCAUUGAAUGAAGUAGGCACUUUUUUUCUGAGCAUUUUCAGAAUAAGCUAAAAGGGUGGGCUCUGACUAGAUUCAGAAGAAGCGAGAAAGCACCGAGCCUUUUAUGUUGUAUUUUUUUUUUUUGGGCAUCCAUAAAAGCUGAUUGUAAAAGAGGAGAGCUUUAACUAGAUUCAGAUGAAAGAACCUAGAUUUUCACAUUGUAUUUUCUUUGGCAUUUGUGAACGUUGAUUAUAACUUCUGUUGUGUACUUUAGUCCUUACAUUGUCUAUUUCCCCUUAUUUUUUCAUGCAAGUCUAUAAACUAUUAGGUGAAAGAGUUUUGUAUCAUUUAUACUGUAGAUUGUCUAUUUCCUGGGUCACUUUUUUCAUAUAAUGACGUUUUGUCAACAUAAGGGAUCUCAUGUAUGAAUUUUUAUUAAUAGCAUUUUCGGUCAUAUGCCCUCUAUA
Prosopis cineraria is the source of this 1997-nucleotide long non-coding RNA. RefSeq lists it as uncharacterized. The transcript is spliced from 3 exons. Lineage: Eukaryota; Viridiplantae; Streptophyta; Magnoliopsida; Fabales; Fabaceae. The record is from RefSeq and is a predicted model, not a curated record.